AUGCUCGUCUCAGCAGGGUCCACGGUGAACAGACAUUCCUCAGUGUACUUCACGGCUGGGCGCACCUUAGAGGUCACAGAAGCCAAGCUGCAGGAGCAGAUGUGUCCAGGUUUCUCUUUGUACAAGGCAAGUCCAACCCAGGUGCCAAGCAUAAGAUCAAAAGUAACCACAGCCAUCAAACGGCAGUAUCCACUCACCGUUUGUCCACUUGAAGCUUCCGUCGUCUCCCAUGUGAAGGCUGUGGGUGGUGUGGGUAGCUAUAUCGCUGCUGACAAAUAUGGUUCGACUGUCAGGGAGGACAGCGUGGGAGAUCACAGACAUAGAGUCAAUGGGCACAUCUUUGAGCUUGUGCCACGAUGA
Molecule: ribosomal RNA, 360 nt
Filed under: Triticum aestivum (bread wheat)
Lineage: Eukaryota; Viridiplantae; Streptophyta; Magnoliopsida; Poales; Poaceae
Description: partial small subunit ribosomal RNA
Source: RNAcentral